Molecule: long non-coding RNA, 495 nt
Organism: Rhagoletis pomonella (apple maggot)
Lineage: Eukaryota; Metazoa; Arthropoda; Insecta; Diptera; Tephritidae
Exons: 2
Source: RefSeq, a predicted model, not a curated record
GCACCUCAUAUUAAACGGUGCCAUUAAGCGAACUGUAUAUUGCCGAUUUUUGGCAAGCUUCAUGCGAGGAAUCUUCGAUGGAUCGAAGUCCGACAUCUUGCUGCAAAAUCAAAAGAGGUUUCGCCGGACAGAAUACUCCUGGUCAACUUUUUCAAUUAGAAAGAACCAGGCCGAAUCCGCAACAAUAACAGCAAUAUGUGGCCACGACGUCAGGUCUACGUAAACGAAACGACCCAGAUUUAUAUCUGGUCAAGGACUGUCACUUCAGCAUCACUCUGUUACAACAACAAAAACUGCAAUAUAUGGCGUCGUUUAACUACCAGGUAUAAAUCCCAAUAAAAUGUCCUCGCUGAAACGUAGGAUGGUAUGAAGAACCACUUCCUCAGAAUGCCUGUUGGUUAGGCUAGUGUAUUGGCGCUUCUGAUGGCUGGCUGUAUUUGGUUAUUAUGUAAAUUUAUUUCAAUGCCAACGUUUACCCACAUACCAUGCUAGAAA